Molecule: RNA transcript, 12336 nt
Organism: Bubalus bubalis (water buffalo)
Lineage: Eukaryota; Metazoa; Chordata; Mammalia; Artiodactyla; Bovidae
Gene: SETD2
Gene name: SET domain containing 2, histone lysine methyltransferase
Exons: 15
Source: RefSeq, a predicted model, not a curated record
CGCCGGAGGGAGGGAGCGAGCGGGCCAGCGACGCGGGCCGCCCCUGCCGCCGCCGCCGCCGCGGUCGGACCAGCGGCCUCCUCCCCUCCCCUCCCUCGCGUCGCCCUGCCGCGGGGAGGGGGCUCGAGUCGCGGUCUCCAGCGGCUCCCGAUGAAGCAGCAGCUGCCGCCGCAGCCGCCUCCAAAGAUGGGGGAUUUCUACGACCCCGAGCACCCGACCCCUGAGCUUUCUUGGCUGGAUGACAAUAGAGAAGAAGAAAAUGAGGCAAAGAUUGAAAAUGUGCCGAAAACAGGUUUCAUCAAAGGACCAAUAUUCAAAGGUGUUGCUUCUAGUCGAUUUUUGCCCAAAGGCACCAAGACAAAAGUUAAUUUGGAGGAACAGGGACGACAGAAGGUGUCAUUCAGCUUCAGCCUUACAAAGAAAACUUUGCAGAACAGGUUUCUGACUGCACUUGGCAAUGAAAAGCAAAAUGAUACUCCAAAUUCCCCAGUUGUACCUCUUCAAGUAGACUCGACCCCUAAAGUUAAGACGGACAUUGGAGAUACAUUAUCUACUACAGAAGAAUCUUCGCCACCGAAAUCAAGGGUAGAAUUGGGCAAAAUCCAUUUUAAGAAACAUCUGCUUCAUGUAACAUCCAGGCCACUGCUGACUGCCACCACAGCAGUGGCAUCUCCAUCUCCUCCCAUGGCACCAUUACCAGCAGUCAGAGCAGAAUCAACAACUGUAGACUCGCCACCCUCAUCUCCACCUCCACCACCUCCACCUCCCCAAGCCACAACACCCUCAUCACCAGCACCAGUAACAGAGCCAGUGGCCUUGCCACACACACCAGUUACAGUUCUGAUGACAGCACCCGUAGAUGUAGCUGCUAGAGCCUUGAAGGAGCCACCAGUAACAAUUGUACCAGAAUCAUCAGAAGUGGACACUAAACAGGACCCUGUAUCUAAUAGUUCAGAAGAACACAUAACUCACAGUUUGAAUGAGCAAGCAGAUAUCCCUUCACAAAAAGAAGAUUCCCAUAUUGGGAAGGAAGAAGAAACUCCAGAUAGUUCUAAAAGUAGUCUGGGCUCUAAAAAAACAGGUUCUAAGAAGAAAUCCUCACAAUCUGAAGGCACCUUUCUUGGUUCAGAAUCUGAUGAAGAUUCUGUACGGACUUCCUCAAGUCAAAGAUCGCAUGAUUUAAAAUUUUCAGCAAACAUUGACAGAGAAAGAGAUUCAAAGAAGAGCUUAGCAACUUUAAAAAGUGAGGAUUUAGGGAAAUCUUCACGAUCUAAAACAGAGAGAGAUGAUAAAUAUUUUAGCUACUCAAAACUUGAAAGAGAUACUCGGUAUAUAUCUUCUCGCUGUAGAGAGAGAGAACGAAGGAGGAGCAGAUCUCGGUCUAGAUCUGACAGAGGCUCUAGAACUAGUUUAUCUUAUUCUCGGUCAGAACGAUCCCAUUAUUAUGACUCUGAUCGUCGCUACCAUAGGAGUUCCCCCUAUCGAGAAAGGACUCGCUAUUCUCGGGCAUAUACAGAUAGCAGGGCGAGAGAGAGUUCUGACUCAGAAGAUGAGUAUAAGAAGACAUACUCAAGGCGCACCUCAUCUCAUUCUUCCUCUUACAGAGACCUAAGGACAUCAUCAUCCUAUUCUAAGUCUGACCGAGACUGUAAAACUGAGUCCUCUUACUUAGAGAUUGAGAAAAGAGGAAAGUAUUCUUCCAAAUUAGAAAGAGAAUCCAAAAGGACUUCAGAAAAUGAAGCAAUGAAAAGAUGUUGUUCUCCCCUCAAUGAACUCGGAUUCCGACAGGGGUCAUCAUAUUCCAAGCAUGAUAACAAUGCUUCCCGUUACAAAUCUGCCCCUUCAAAACCUGUAUCCAAGUCUGAUAAAUUUAAAAAUUCUUUCUGUUGUACAGAAUUGAAUGAGGAAACCAAACAGUCUCAUUCUUUUAGUUUACAGACUCCUUGUUCAAAAGGUAGUGAAUUAAGAGUGAUUAGUAAAAUUCCUGAGAGAGAGAAGACUCGGUCUCCAUCUCCAUCAAAUCGAUUAAAUGAUUCACCUACUUUUAAAAAGCUAGAUGGAUCACCUGUUUUUAAGUCUGAAUUUAGAGGACAUGAUAGCCAUGAUAGUAUUAAGGAAGUAGACUCUUUAUGUAAAGUGAAGAAUGAUCAGUUAAGAAGUUAUUGUCCCACAGAAUUAAAUAUAAAUGGGUCUCCAGGGGCAGAAUCUGAUUUGGCAGCAUUUUGCACUUCUAAACAUGACACUGUUUUGAUGUCUUCUGAUGAUAGUGUGACUGGAUCAGAGGUAUCCCCCUUGGUCAAAACAUGCAUGCUUUCAUCAAAUGGAUUUCAGAAUAUUAAUAGAUGUAAAGAAAAAGACUUGGAUGAUACUUGCAUGAAGCAUAGUAAGUCAGAAAGCCCAUUUAGAGAAACAGAACCUCUGGUGACACCACACCAAGAUCAACUCAUAUCUUUGCCAGUUAUGACUAUAGAUUAUUCCAAAACAGUUGUUAAAGAACCAGUUGAGGUGAGAGUUUCUUACUGUAAAACCAAAGAUUCAGAUAUAUACUGUACUUCAAAUGACAACCACCCUUCUUCAUGUCAUUCCGGAGCUGAAAAUAUUGAGCCUUUAGUCACGAAGAUGUCUUCAAAUAGCUUUAUGAAUGUGCAUUUGAAAUCAAAAACAGUUAUAUGUGAUAAUGGAAAUCUAACUGAUCAGCACUCAAAAUUUGCAUGUGGAGAAUAUAAGCAGAGUGUUGGUAGUACUAGUUCAGCUUCUGUUAAUCAUUUUGAUGAUUUAUAUCAAACUCCAGGGAGCUCAUGUAUUGCUUCAUCUCUUCAGAGUCUUCCCCCAGGAAUAAAAGUGAACAGUUUAACUCUCUUGCAGUGUGGAGAGAAGAUAUCUCCAGUUUUGGAUGCUGUGCCGAAGAGUAAAAACUCAGAGUUUUUAAAGCAUGCAGAGAAAGAAACAGUAAUAGAAGUAGGUAGUGACCUUCCUGAUUCAGGAAGGGGAUUGGCUUCAUGGGAUAACAGGCAUAAUAAUGGACUGUCUGAGAAAUGUGUGCAGGAGGCUCACGAAGAAGGGAAUUCUUUAUUGCCUGAUAGAAGAGGAAGACCAGAGAUCUCUUUAGAUGAAGAACGUGGAAGAGGACAUGCACAUACUUCUGAUGACUCAGAAGUUGUGUUUUCUUCUUGUGAUUUGAAUUUAACUAUGGAGGACAGUGAUGGUAUAACAUAUACCUUAAAAUGUGACAGCAGUGGUCAUGCCUCAGAGAUUGUAUCUACUCUCCAUGAAGAGUAUUCUGGUUCUUCUGAAAGUUCAAGUGAUGAAAGUGAUUCAGAGGAUACAGAUUCUGAUGAUAGCAGUAUUCCAAGAAACCGUCUUCAGUCUGUUGUGGUUGUGCCAAAGAAUUCUACUUUGACCAUGGAAGAAACUAGUCCUUGUUCUUCUCGGAGCAGUCAGAGUUACAGACACUAUUCUGAUCACUGGGAAGAUGAGAGAUUGGAGCCAAGGAGACAUUCAUAUGAGGAAAAAUUUGAGAGUAUAACAAGUAAAGCCUGUCCUCAAACUGAGAAGUUCUUCUUUCAUAAAGCAGCAGAGAAAAAUUCCGAAAUUUCUUUUAUACAGCCCAGCCGAAAACAGAUAGAUAAUCACCUGCCUGAAAUUGCUCAUCCGCAGAGUGAUGGGGUUGAUAGUACAAGUCAUCCAGACAUAAAAUCCGACCCUCUAGGUCAUUCAAAUUCUGAGGAAACAGUGAAAGCUAAAAUAGUUUCUCAGCAGCAAGAAGAGCUACCAGUUUAUUCUUCUGAUGAUUUUGAAGAUGUCUCAAAUAAGUCUCGGCAACAGACUGCUUUUCCUAACAGGCCAGAUAGUCGACUGGGAAAAACAGACUCAAGUUAUUCUUCUUGUGAGAUCUCCCGAGUGGAUGGCUUCCUUUCAUCAGAGGAGCUCAGAAACCUAGGGUGGGACUUGUCUCAACAAGAAAAGCCUACCACCACGUAUCAGCAACCUGACAGCAGCUAUGGAGCCUGUGGUGGACACAAGUAUCAGCAAAGUGCAGAACAGUAUAGCGGGGCACGCAAUUACUGGCAAGGCAAUGGCUACUGGGAUCCAAGAUCAGCAAGUAGACCGCCAGGAGCUGGGGUUGUGUAUGAUCGAAUUCAAGGGCAGGUACCAGAUUCCUUAACAGAUGACCGAGAAGAGGAGGAGAAUUGGGAUCAACGUGGAGGAUCUCACUUUUCAAGUCAGUCCAGUAAAUUUUUUCUGUCCCUUCAGAAGGACAAGGGUUCAGUGCAAGCACCUGAAAUAAGCAGCAAUUCCAUUAAGGACUCUUUGGCUGUGAGUGAGAAGAAAGAUCUUCUGAAAAACUUAGACAGAAAUGAUAUGAAAGAUAGAGGGCCUCUUAAAAAAAGAAGACAGGAAUUGGAGAGUGAUUCUGAAAGUGAUGGUGAGCUUCAGGACAGAAAGAAAGUUCGAAUGGAGAUAGAUCAGGGAGAGACAACAGUGCCUCUCGGCUCAGCGCUGGUUGGGCCUUCCUGUGUCAUGGAGGACUUCAGGGACCCCCAGCGGUGGAAGGAAUAUGCCAAGCAAGGGAAGAUGCCUUGUUACUUUGAUCUGAUUGAAGAAAAUGUUUAUUUAACAGAAAGAAAGAAGAAUAAAUCCCAUCGGGAUAUUAAGCGAAUGCAAUGUGAGUGUACACCUCUUUCUAAAGAUGAAAGAGCUCAAGGUGAAAUAGCAUGUGGGGAAGAUUGUCUUAAUCGUCUUCUCAUGAUUGAAUGUUCUUCUCGGUGUCCAAAUGGGGAUUAUUGUUCCAAUAGACGGUUUCAGAGGAAACAGCAUGCAGAUGUGGAAGUUAUCCUCACGGAAAAGAAAGGCUGGGGCUUAAGAGCUGCUAAAGACCUUCCUUCGAACACCUUUGUCCUGGAAUAUUGUGGAGAGGUACUUGAUCAUAAAGAGUUUAAAGCCCGGGUAAAGGAGUAUGCACGAAACAAAAACAUCCACUACUAUUUCAUGGCCCUGAAGAAUGAUGAGAUAAUCGAUGCCACUCAGAAAGGAAAUUGCUCCCGGUUCAUGAAUCACAGCUGUGAACCCAACUGUGAGACUCAAAAAUGGACUGUGAACGGACAACUGAGAGUUGGGUUUUUUACUACCAAACUGGUUCCUUCAGGCUCAGAGUUAACAUUUGACUAUCAGUUCCAAAGAUAUGGGAAAGAAGCACAGAAGUGUUUCUGUGGGUCAGCUAAUUGCCGGGGUUACCUGGGAGGAGAGAACAGAGUCAGCAUCAGAGCAGCAGGAGGGAAAAUGAAGAAAGAACGAUCUCGUAAGAAGGAUUCAGUGGAUGGGGAGCUAGAAGCUUUGCUGGAGAAUGGCGAGGGUCUCUCUGAUAAAAACCAAGUGCUCAGCUUAUCCCGGCUAAUGGUUAGAAUUGAAACUUUGGAACAGAAACUUACCUGUCUCAAGCUCAUACAGAACACACACUCACAGUCUUGUCUGAAGUCCUUUCUGGAACGUCACGGGCUGUCUUUGUUGUGGAUCUGGAUGGCAGAACUAGGUGAUGGCCGGGAAAGUAACCAGAAGCUUCAGGAAGAGAUUAUAAAGACUCUGGAACAUUUACCUAUUCCUACUAAAAAUAUGUUGGAGGAAAGCAAAGUACUUCCUAUUAUUCAACGUUGGUCUCAAACCAAGACUCCUAUCCCUCAGCUGAGUGAAGGAGAUGGGUAUUCUAGUGAAAAUACAUCACGUGCCCACACACCGCUCAACACACCUGAUCCUUCCACCAAGCUGAGCACAGAAGCUGACACAGACACCCCCAAGAAGCUCAUGUUUCGCAGACUUAAAAUUAUAAGUGAAAAUAGCAUGGACAGUGCAAUCUCUGAUGCCACCAGCGAGCUAGAAGGCAAGGAUGGGAAAGAGGACCUGGACCAGUUAGAGAAUGUCCCCAUCGAAGAAGAGGAAGAGCCUCAGGCGCAGCAGCUACUCGUGCAACAGCUGCCCGAGCCUAAAGUUGACAGUGACAUUGCUGCGGAGGCCAGCAAGCUCCCCACGUCCGAACUGGAGGCUGACGCUGAAAUAGAACACAAAGAGAGCAGUGGCGCGAAACUUGACGAACCUAUUGCUGAGGAAACACCAUCCCAAGAUGAAGAGGAGGGUAUAUCUGAUGUGGAGAGUGAGAGAAGUCAGGAACCGCCAGACAAAACAGUAGAUAUAAGUGAUUUGGCCACCAAGCUCCUGGACAGUUGGAAAGACCUAAAGCUUCUCAGGGCAGCACGGAGCUUGUUAACAUCACCAGCUGACCAUGUGUCUCCUUUUCUCAACUCCAUUUCCAACUUCGUGCUGAAGAAACACAAGAACCUAGCGUGCAUUCUGUGAAGAAACAGGAAGAUGGUUGGGAAGUUGGAUGAUGCAUGAAAAAUAAAAUAGGUGAAAAGAGGACAGAGGUGGUUAACUCACUGGCGCCGGCGUUAUUUUGGUGCGUCCAUUGCCGACAAUGGAUGUCGUUCUGGGAAAAUCCCGACUCCUGGCGAGAAAGGAUUAAGGCAAAACAGCUGGUUAUAAGUGAUGAUUAAUUAUAAUUUGACUGGAAAAUCUUCAUUCAUUUGGAUCAUGAGAAGAAGAGGACCGUGAUCAAGUUAGUCAGAAACUUAAGAAGUUUUUCAAGUACAGAUAAGUUGGUAUAAUCCAGUUUUAUAUAUAACCAUAAUGAGACUAUAUAAAUUUUCCUUCUUAAUGUUCUUUUAAUUCUGAUGUAAUUUCAGAUUUAUAGGAAAACUGAAGGAAUACUAUUCUUUAUGUAUUCUUCAUGUAAUACACAUUCCAGUGACGAAUGUAGUUAAAAACAGUAAAACAUUCCUCUAAACCUUUCAUUCAGAUUCCCCAAUGUUAGCAUUUUACCAAAUUUACCUCAUUAUUUUCUCUUUUUUUUUUUAACUUUUAAAGAGUAAGUUAACAGAUCUGACACCCACUGUGCCUAGAUAUUUUUAGAUGUUUAUUUCCCAAAUACAAGGAUAUUCUUCUGUAUAACUUCAGUGUUACCAAAAUCAGCAAAUUGCAGUGACACAAUACUAUUAAUCUUUUAAAAAGGCCUCAUUCAAAUUUUGCCAGUUGUGCAUAUACUGUUCUCUAUAGAAAAAAAAGAAAAGUUGUGAUUCAGAAUGAGAUCAAGUGUUACAUUUUUAUCUCUUUAAUAUCCUUUAGUAUCCUUUAAUCUGAAAUAGUUCCUCAAUCUUUGUCUUUUACAAAUUUCACAUUUUUGAAUACUUAAAAAUUUUUCUAGAAUACCCCUCAAUUUGGUUUUGUCUGGAGUUGUGCUUGGUUCAUUUAUCUCAUUACUGGCAUUGUCAACUUUGAUCGCUUGGUUAUGGUGGUGUCUCCUAGGUUUCUAUUUUCCUCUGUAUAAAAAAAAGUGUCAUAUAGGAGCACCUUUAGAAAUUACAAAUACUUUGUUUUUUGUGAAAUUUAUCCGCCAAUUGAUUUGGCCUGAAUCUUGUGCAACUAUGGUUUUUAACAAAUGGUGAUUUUCUAAUCCAGCCUUCCUUUUUAUGUAUUUCUGUACAGUGGUAGCAGAUUUACCAGGUUUCUAAAAUUACUUGCUUAGAUGCCUGUUUCUCCUCACAGGACCAUGAGAUCUUCAAGGGCAGAGACUGUUCUUUAAUCUUUGUAAUAAGAGUUUAAGAGUUACUCUUAUCAUGGUGUCUUUGUAGGAAUAGUUGUAAUAAUGUUACCACUUAAGAAUAGUGAAUGAUACUCUGUGCCCCUCCAGUCUGUGCUACAUUCAGUCUCCAGAGUUAUCCUUUUGGAAAUAUACCUGCAUUCAUGUCAAAGUUGUACUGAAAACUUUUAAAUGGUUCCUUAUUACAUGGUUAAAGUUAAGUCCAUUUUUCUUAACAAAGCUUACAUACCAUGGCAUAAUCUGGUCCUUAUUUAUUUAUACAUUCGCACCGCAAGCAUUUCUGAUCUUCCAGUGGGGAUACUACUAAUGCUCCAUGCACACACACACACACACUCUCUGACUCAUUUCUGAGAAGACUUUUAUUUAGAUGUCUGUUCUCACUUAAGUUUCCUCCUUUGCCCUGAAAGUCAUUUCCUUUUCCUCAAAGAUAGAGUAUUCUGCCUUUCCUUUAUGCUCUCAUAACAUCCUUUCCAGUCACAGCAGAUACCAUUUCGUAAUUGCACAUAGUGCAGAGGCAGGGACUGGGUCUGCCGUGGCCACUCGAGUCUGCCCAGAGUGCUGAGAGAGUGUAGUAUAUAGUUUGGCACUUCAGAAAUAUUUGAAUGAUGAAGGUCCUUUUUCCAUGGAACCACACUGCUGCUUGAAUCCAUAGUAUGUAUAUUUUAUUUGAUGGGUGGUCAGAAAAUACUAGAAUGAGUGUCAUGUAAUCUUUACAGCCCUGUAAAGUAAGUGGUGGUGUUUUUAUCAACUAUAAAAUAGAAAGAAACAUGCCUAUGAAGUUGUAAUUUAACUUUAAGCGACAUAGUUGAAAAUUAAUUCAGGGGGUACUCUUUCUGCCCCCUUCUGAUGCCUAUGUCAGAAGCUUUCUCUAUCUCCUUUAUACUUUAAUAAAACUUAAAAAAAAAAAAUUAAUUCAGGUCUUCUGAUUUAAAUCCUACAUUCUUUCCACUCCUUUUUCUGAUCCAAAAAUAGUGAUUGCUAUAUUCCUGGACAACCCAUGUUAUGUACCUUUGCUGAAUACUUUUCAGACUUCCUUCAGUCCCAAAGUGUUAGUCACUCAGUUGUGUCCAACUCCUUGUGACCCCAUAGACUCCUCUGUCCAUGGAAUUCUUCAGGCAGGAGGAAUACUGGAGUGGGUAGCCAUUCCUUUCUCAGGGGAUCUUCCUGACCCAGGGAUUGAACCCAAGUCUCCUGCAUUGCAGGCGGAUUCUUUACCAUCUGAGCCACCAGGGAAGCCGUUCUUAAAUCAUAGAAAUGACUGUUUUAGUGUUUUGUUCAAGUAUCUUUUCUCCCUUAAUGCUGCAGAGAUCAAACUAUGAUCCAUGAUUGAAUUUAAAGGAAUUUUUCUUCCCUUUCCCUUUCUUUUUUCUCUCCCCUUUUCUCCCUCCCUUUAAAAAUGUGCAAAGCCAUUCUUAGCUGGGGUUGAAGGGAUACUUAAAGAACCAGGCUGCAGGUCAGACCUUGGGGUGAAGUCAGUAAAAAUAAUACUGAAGAAGUUGGAAAAGAAAUAACACAAGGAUACUAGUAUACGAGAAGCAUUUUCAGAAAAAAUAAUGAAAAGAUUAUUUUAUUGUUUCAUUUCAUUAUUUCACAUAAUGAAAAGAUUCUCAUGUACUCUUGGGUAAGUGUGUUACAUCAUGUUAUCAGUUAAUUGUUUGGGAAAAGUAUAACAAAAACGUCACCAAUUGACUCAUCUUUUCGGGGGAAGAGUUGUUGAAGUUUUCUCUCAACAUAAUGAUUUCGGAAUUACAAAUAAAUGUUCGUGAGCUGGUGAGUUUGCAGAUACAGAAUCUCUGGAUAAAGAGGAUAGAUAGAAUUAUGAAAUAUGCGGCUUUUCGUGUCUGAGUGCUCUUACCUAGUGUAGUGUUUUCAGACUUCAUCCACAUUGGAGCAUGUAUCAGUAGUUAAUUCCAUUUUAUGGCUGAAUAAUACUCCAUUGUAUGGAUGCAGUUUUCUACCUAUCUUAAAAUGAGCCAGAAUGAGAUUGGGGGGAAAGGCAGCGAUAAACCCAGACGCAGACUUGCUGCUAAGUCAUAAUCUUUUUGUUGCCUAUUUGAUUUAUUGUUCAGUCGCUCAGUUGUGUCCGGCUCUUUACGACCCCAUGGACUGCAGCACUCCAGACUUCCCUGUCCUUCACCAUCUCCUGGAGUUUGCUCAAACUCAUGUCCAUUGGGUUGGUGAUGCCAUCCAACUGUCUCAUCCUCUGUCGUUCCCUUCUCCUGCCUUCAAUCUUGCCCAGCUUCAUUUGAUGUUCUUUGCCUUUUUAAUCAGAAGUAUUUUAUAUUUCUUUAAUCCUGAAAAAAAUCACCUUGAUUGUUUCUCAAAAUAGUUCCUUCUCUCCUAGAAUUCCUUUUACCUGGAGUUGGCACUUUAACUUCUAGCCUCCAUAUCUCAUAACUUUGCUUUCACAUUUUCUUUUUUUGUGCCCUUCCAUCAAUAAAAAUGGCAUCUGGCUCAGAGUCUUUCUCUUUUUUAUUCUUAGUCUUGCCAUCAUUUAGGAAGAAAGAUUUGUUUAAUGCAUACUACACAAUUCUGUCUGUACUUGCUAACAGGGAAAAAUAGUUGUAAAAAAAAAAAAUCUGUUAUUACAGAAUAUAUAAUCUGAUAUCUAUAUAAUAAAAGGUAAAAUUUAAUUAUACUCUCAUUGUAAAGUAUUUUGUUCUCAAAGUCUUGUUUAGCUAAAGAACAGUCUAAUCAGUGCUAAAUUUUUAUACUUUCCAGAAAAAGUAAUCCUACAAAGUUUUGAAAUUUUGUUUUAAUCCUUUUUCUACAGUCUAUUCUGUGAGUUCAUUUGAAAUGUGUUUAAAAAAAAAAAAAAGAAUGUGCUGGAGUGCUUUGCCAACAAAUUUCCCAUGUGUACUUUUUGAGACUGUUGGAAGAAAAUGACCUAUCUGCAGUAGGUUACUUAGUCAAGGAGGAGGGAUAGGUUGGAAUGUGGUCUUCUCUAGGCACAUGCAGCCCAAGAGGAGGAAGAGCCUAGAUGGCACUGAACUGAGGGUGCAAACAUAGUUCUUUUGUCAGAUUCUCCCUUAUGAGGGAGAAAUGAGUGAGGCCUCUUAAGAGAAGCCAGUAGUUCAGUGGUUGUUAAUCUUCUCUGGACUUCAGAAUCAUCUGGGGAGCUUCUAAAAAAUACAGAUGCCUGGGACUCAUUCCCAGAAUUUUAGGUUCAGUUUGUUUGGGAUAGUACAUCUAUAAGUUUCCUGGAGUGAUCUAAUCAUGCUGCCAGAGUUGAGAAUCGCAGCUCUAGUGGAAAUCCUACAUAGGAAAGGCUAGGUGGAUGGUGGAUUUUUACUACAUUUGUGCAUAAAUCCACAGAACGGCACUCCUUUCCAGAAUAUGCCACUUCGUCAUAUGGACAGAUGUGCUCUGGAGUCAGAGCAAAAGUGCUCUGAAAGCAUCAGUUGCUAAACUUUUUAAGUAAGUUUUCUCAUUUGUAAAAUGGAGAUAACAAACUAUGAGAGUUGUUUUGAAACUCAAAUAAGAUUAUGUGUUUGAAAUGCUUGGCAUGACACCUGGCACACAGGAUAAGUGCACAUUUAAUAAUGUCAUCGUCUUUAUAUUAGAUAAUUUGUCAGCAUGCAUGGAGUCUUAUUAAAGGGUUCUCUUAAAAAUCUAUAUUCUUAUAGAUUGCCAUGUAUGUGUAUAGUCCACAUUUGGCAUUUUUAAUGGCAGCUGAAUAUUACAUCUUGACCUUUCUUCAGUUGUGUGAUAUAUGGGUUAUUUCCUUUUCCACAGAUGUUGCUAGAACCAAAAAUCAUGUAGAAAGAUUUUCCUUGGAGUACAGUUCCUUAAAAAAAUGGGAUUACCAGGUCACCUUGUAUGUGGUCAGUAUUUCAAAAAGACUCUAAAGCAAGGGUUUUAUAUGAUGUACUAUUGAGAAUGUGUGGGAGUGCUGUUCCCACUCAGCCAGGUGACUGGAUAAGGAAGAAUGUGUCUAAGAGCUGCUUCAUGGACUUAAAACAGAGAUUUUCAGGAAACAGGUUCGUUUCUAGGCUCUAGGUUCAUACAGCAAGAAAAGUUACCUCAAGACUUAGUUUAUAUUUCUCAAGAAGAAUCUUGAUAGAGUAUUAGAUGGUAUUUGAAGAGCCACAAUGAUCCGAAACUUUUAUUUUUAAAAAUAACAGCAGGAGUGUAAGAGUAAAUGACAUUUAGCCAUUAGCUAAAUUGAUUCUGUAUUUGUAGGAAAAUAUACUGAAAAGCAGGAAUUAUCUUUACACAUGUAAUUUUUCUGAAAUGUGAAGCUGUUAUUCCUAACCUUGCCUUUCUCUAAGUAGCGAUGGCAAGUGAGAUGUUCCAGUUGUUCAUAUGAAUACUCUCAGUAAAGAAACUAUAGAUGACUUCAUUUUAUAUGCAGACAGUUUAUGGAAAUUAAGAUUUUUCAGGAGGUGUAUUUCUGCCAGAAAUAAUGCCCUAGUUACUUAAUCUGCUCCUUGGCUAAUGAGGUCAUGCAAGCCUGGUAGAUGUUUAAGAAUAAAUAUGUAUUUGUGUUAUAUAUUUUUUAAGGGACCAGGAUCUAUUCUUAUUUAAAGCCAAAUAUAAGUAAAUUUUUGAAGAAUAAUUAAAUACCAGACUAUUCCUCCCCAUUUCUUUUUUGCCAGUGUGAAAUCAAAGCAAUUAAUCGCUUCCACUCAUCACUAAUAACCCUUCUUUUGGUUUGUGUUUUUGCAGGAGGUAUAUCGAAUUCCGAA